RNAcentral lists this ribosomal RNA (492 nucleotides) under uncultured bacterium. RNAcentral's name for it is "partial 16S ribosomal RNA". It matches the Rfam family "Bacterial small subunit ribosomal RNA", at positions 29 to 507 of the family's 1533-position model. The record is from RNAcentral.
AGUGAACGCUGGCGGUAGGCCUAACACAUGCAAGUCGAACGGCAGCACAGUAAGAGCUUGCUCUUACGGGUGGCGAGUGGCGGACGGGUGAGGAAUACAUCGGAAUCUACUUUUUCGUGGGGGAUAACGUAGGGAAACUUACGCUAAUACCGCAUACGACCUACGGGUGAAAGCAGGGGAUCUUCGGACCUUGCGCGAUUGAAUGCGCCGAUGUCGGAUUAGCUAGUUGGCGGGGUAAAGGCCCACCAAGGCGACGAUCCGUAGCUGGUCUGAGAGGAUGAUCGGCCACACUGGAACUGAGACACGGUCCAGAGUCCUACGGGAGGCAGCAGUGGGGAAUAUGGGACAAUGGGCGCAAGCCUGAUCCAGCCAUACCGCGUGGGUGAAGAAGGCCUUCGGGUUGUAAAGCCCUUUUGUUGGGAAAGAAAAGCAGCAGGUUAAUACCCCGCUGUUCUGACGGUACCGAAAGAAUAAGCACCGGCUAACUUCGUG